Molecule: unclassified non-coding RNA, 379 nt
Filed under: soil metagenome
Description: partial contains 5.8S ribosomal RNA, internal transcribed spacer 2, and large subunit ribosomal RNA
Rfam family: 5.8S ribosomal RNA (bases 1-120)
Source: RNAcentral
GAUGAAGAACGCAGCGAAAUGCGAUAAGUAAUGUGAAUUGCAGAAUUCAGUGAAUCAUCGAAUCUUUGAACGCACAUUGCGCCCGCCAGUAUUCUGGCGGGCAUGCCUGUUCGAGCGUCAUUUCAACCCUCAAGCCCCAGCGCCCUGGUGUUGGGGACCGGCGACCUCGCCCGAGCCCGCCCUCCGGGGCGCGUGCCCGGUGCGUCCGCCGCCCCCGAAAUGAAUUGGCGGCCUCGUCGCGGCCUCCUCUGCGUAGUAGCACAACCUCGCAAGCGGGAGCGCGACGCGGCCACUGCCGUAAAACGCCCAACUUUUUUAGAGUUGACCUCGGAUCAGGUAGGAAUACCCGCUGAACUUAAGCAUAUCAAUAAGCGGAGGA